GAUGAACGCUGGCGGCGUGCCUAAUACAUGCAAGUCGAGCGAACGGACGAGAAGCUUGCUUCUCUGAUGUUAGCGGCGGACGGGUGAGUAACACGUGGAUAACCUACCUAUAAGACUGGGAUAACUUCGGGAAACCGGAGCUAAUACCGGAUGAUAUUUUGAACCGCAUGGUUCAAAAGUGAAAGACGGUCUUGCUGUCACUUAUAGAUGGAUCCGCGCUGCAUUAGCUAGUUGGUAAGGUAACGGCUUACCAAGGCAACGAUGCAUAGCCGACCUGAGAGGGUGAUCGGCCACACUGGAACUGAGACACGGUCCAGACUCCUACGGGAGGCAGCAGUAGGGAAUCUUCCGCAAAGGGCGAAAGCCUGACGGAGCAACGCCGCGUGAGUGAUGAAGGUCUUCGGAUCGUAAAACUCUGUUAUUAGGGAAGAGCAUAUGUGUAAGUAACUGUGCACAUCUUGACGGUACCUAAUCAGAAAGCCACGGCUAACUACGUG
This 497-nucleotide ribosomal RNA is filed under the name uncultured bacterium. RNAcentral's name for it is "partial 16S ribosomal RNA". It matches the Rfam family "Bacterial small subunit ribosomal RNA", at positions 28 to 507 of the family's 1533-position model. The record is from RNAcentral.